RNAcentral lists this long non-coding RNA (3306 nucleotides) under Hordeum vulgare. RNAcentral's name for it is "long non-coding RNA (HVUL_LNC011678)". The record is from RNAcentral. Lineage: Eukaryota; Viridiplantae; Streptophyta; Magnoliopsida; Poales; Poaceae.
GAAGUACUAAACACGGUCUCGUCAGUGUUUGCAGGUGCGAGUUCCGUGCCAUCAGCUAACACAACACCGGGGUCAACAGAUGGAAGAGAUGGCCUGCAAGGUGAUAGAACAAUCUAAUUAAACAUAACACGAGUUACGUACCACCCAUAUCUUUGGAAGAUGAUAACAAUUUGCAUAAUGUGCAUUGCAGGGUCAGGACUUGAGAUAGUAUGCACUCCUGCACACGAGGUUGUUCAACCGAACAAGGCGGCAGGAACAACACAUGUCAGCCUGAACAGGGAGAUAGCCGCCCAAGAGCUAGACAUACGUGAGGAGAUGGAGCAGGCAACAAUCAAUCUAAACGUUACACAAACACAAGAUGGGCUUAGUACACAACCACAGAGAAAAAGGACCGUUAAGCCAGGGAGGGCUGCACGAUCCCCUUUCGUCCUAGGGUAUGAUCCUCCUGUAAGAGCACCAGCUAAUGUUAAAAAGGUCUUUAGGAUGUUUAUGAAAGAGCCUGCAGAUGCAAGGAAAUAGUAUGUAACCCUUUUACAUACAUCACAAAAAGGUUUUGGUUGCUUGGCAUUGAUUCUUCUUAAGCUAACAUGUGGAUUUUACAUUUGCAGCAAUUGGGUUAUCAGCACGCAGCCAAAAUACCUGGAGCUCACGGCUGAUCGUAUCAGGAUGAACCUGUCCGAAGGAGGUGUAAUAGAGAAUGAUUUGAUGACAGUAGCAGUUAGAAGAUACCAGCAAAAGGACUUUAUCUUUGCAUUGGAUAAAGAUGAAGGUUGCUGGCGACAUUGGCUAGAGCCAGACUUUAUGGUGAGUACAACUAUUGAUGACAAAAUAUAUUGAAUCAUUUUAUGCCAGAUAAACGAGCUCUGCUUAUUGGCUGUUGUAUUUAACAGAACCAUGUGAGUAGAGGAGACGUGAUCGUGAGGUACGUCCGGGAUAUGUUAAUCGGGGAACAUAUUAAUUAUGACGUGCACAGAUGCACAGAGGUAUUUAGUAGACAACGCUUUUUUAAGUACCGCUCUUAUCUAUAGUAUGAAAAAUGUUAUAUGAAUACAAUCUUACUACUGAUUAAUUGUCUAGUUCAUACUGCGUGUGAAGUUCAACUUCACAUGGUCGACAUACAUAUGGGAUUUUCCAAAAAAGAGGAUAAUUGUCCUUGACCCAACCAUUAACAAUGGGGACGAGUCUGACAAAUUAAUCCAGAACAGGCACCAUAAGGUUGCAGAUAACCUUCAUGUUGCAUUGCAAAGCUGCAUUCAGCAAUUCUUUCAAGGUUGGGCUCCAGACAUGGCAAGAUGGAAUACAGUUUUCCCGAAAGGGCUCAAUGUUGGCCUAUGCAACGGGUAAUUUCAACAGCUGUAAACAUGGCAUGAGUACGUAGAUAUGUGUGUUUACAGUAUAUAUAUUAAUGUUUUCAGGCCAGACAGUGGGGUAUAUGCGCUACACUACGGACGCAACUGGAUGGGAAGUAAAUUCAAGAGGGUCUUAAACCCGGUUCGUAAGCAGCUGACUUGUAACGUUUUCAAUUAACCGCUAAUGCAAAACAACGAAUAUGUGAUAACGCAUGACGUUUCAUGUCUUACGAGCAAAAUGAUGGAGUUCUCCAUUCCAGGAUGAACAUACUGGUAGAUGUACUUGGACUGGAGGGGAACAUUGGACACAUGCCUGAGAGAUACAGGAAAUUCCUCGUUAGGAAAAAUCAGUAAGCACGAUGGACGAUGCUUUUUAAAAAAUCGUGUGGUAUUUUGGUCAAGCAUCAAAGACGCAGUUUGAACUAUUGGAUGUAUGGUACAAGUUAAUCUGCAAUGUUUAAGCAUCCGGACAGACAAUCAUACUUUAAAUUUGGGGAAUGUAAUAUUUCGUUAUUUCAAGCUUGAACAAUCUGGUUUGGCAAUACUAUCUAUUUGUUAUGGCAAUCUGUUUUUGCAUCAAAUACCUUAAGAGUGCAAGCUUAGAAAGAACACACCAAAGAAGAUGCAUGGUGAAAUAGUUUUUCCUGCAUAACUUUAUAUAGCUAAGUAUAUGGAUGAGCUGGCAGCACAUCAUUAUCCCCCCCGCGACGAAAUGGAGUAGAUCCCUGUUAUGAAGCAAUGUGUUCAUGAGCCUAAAUAGCAAAUUAGGACCUCUUGCAACUCAAAAACCACACAUUGCCAUUUUUGGUAUAAUGAAAACAUAUUCAUACUUUUUUGAGAUUUUGCAUAGUAUGCAUCAUAAAUGAUUCUCAUGAGUACAAAAAAAUGCAAUAAGCUGAUAACAACCUAACCUAGGCAAAGUGAGACCUUUGGCAGAAAAAGGGAAGGACCACUCUUUUAUUGCUUCUGCUUGUGUUAAACAACAUUUAUAGGCAUAAUGAGCCAUUUAACCAUUUGUAAGUUGUAGCAACACUCUUGACAGUAAGAUCACUUUACUAAAACAACAGGAAGGAAUACUCAGACAGCUCCUUAAAAUAACAGAUAACAACAGGUGAUAACCAUUUGCGAAUUCCGUAUACAGUAGCAUUACACGGAACUUUCAAACUAAACAACUGAAGACCAUCAAGUAAAACAAAAUAUAAUGCAGCUUUAUGUUGCAAGUUAUCCAUAAGUUCAGGGCAGGGAGAGCCAUGUCUGAUAUAUGAUUCGAUAUAUAAAUCGAGGUCAAAAUCUUUAUAGAUAUGAUUUCGUAAUAAAAAAAUCAUUAAUAACGAACAAGAUACAGAAUAAGAACGCACUGCAUGUCACCUGGAUCUGGCAGGGUCACUGACGGAUACGAAAUUUAUUAUGAAGAUGCAUCAAGUACGUAUAUUUUAUUCUUUGGUCGUACAUCAACCAUAGCAUUGUGUUAGGGAUACAGAAAGAGAAACAGAUUUCAAAAGCAGUUCACAGAAACUGCAAGCGUUAUUAUGUGAAAAGAAAGAUUAUUAAUACCAAACGGACGUUUUAAUAUGAGAAAAGGAUAAAAUCACUAACACCAACCAUAGUAUUUGGUUGGGGAUCGAUUGAAUGAAACGGAAGGGGAAAGUUUAUAUGGAUAACGAUUUAGGGAUUUCAGAUUUAGAACUAUAAUGACAAAGAUACCUGUUACUCUGACCUCGGAUCUGACCGGGAGUCUUGCUCAUCAUAGAUAUGCCGCCUAACCGGCGGCGACGCCUCUGUAUCAACGGGAUAGCUUCAUAGAAAUGGAGAUUGGGAAGGAGCACAAGCAAGGUCGAGCCUGCGUCGUGAGAUUCCUAUUUUGUGGCGUCCUGAGAUUCGUAUUUCGUAGACAUGGAGGUUGGGAAGAAGCACAAGAGUCGGUCCCGGUGAAGGAGAAGAGCUGGGGAAGGGAUGG